UACAGAGGGGGCAAGCGUUGUUCGGAAUUAUUGGGCGUAAAGGGCGCGUAGGCGGCCUGGCAAGUGGAAGGUGAAAUCCCUCGGCUUAACCGAGGAACUGCCCUCCAAACUGCUUGGCUUGAGUCCGGGAGAGGUGAGUGGAAUUCCCAGUGUAGCGGUGAAAUGCGUAGAUAUUGGGAGGAACACCAGUGGCGAAGGCGGCUCACUGGACCGGAACUGACGCUGAGGCGCGAAAGCGUGGGGAGCAAACGGG
RNAcentral lists this ribosomal RNA (253 nucleotides) under uncultured bacterium. Its description in RNAcentral is "partial 16S ribosomal RNA". It matches the Rfam family "Bacterial small subunit ribosomal RNA", at positions 524 to 776 of the family's 1533-position model. The record is from RNAcentral.